UUUUCUCUUACCAGUGUGAGUUCUAAUGUGUCCUUGAAGCAGCCAGGGUCUGGAAAACGCUUUGCCGCAGAUCUUGCAGACACAAGGUGCUGGAAGAAAAAACAAGGAAGGAACAGCGGUGACGUGGAGACUUGCAAGGGGAAAGUGCCUUGUCAGGACCAGCACCUCCUGACCAGGGAGGGGAAAGCCAGGGCCGUGUGUGAGGGAGGCUUCCUGAGCUCAUCUGGACAGAAAGCUGUGCAGAAGCAAGACUCCGCCGUUAGCUGUCUCUUAAGGCAACCGAUGGCAGAAAAAUUCAAGCACAGAGCAAGCCUCAGUGAGCUUUGCCCAUGCCAGGAAUUACGCCUAGAGAGGAGGAUGGAUGGGCUGGCGUCCAUCAGGCUGAGCGGAACAGUACUUUGGAGAGAAGGCAGACUCUCCGUGGUGGCAGCGCGGCCCAGUGCAGCAGGUGUGAACGGAACGCACAGACGAAAUCAGUGAAGCCGACAAAGCCAAACCACACAGUGUGAGUUCUCAGAACACGUAUGCCUUGCAUGUCAAGCAAGUCGAAGACAUCACCGUUCGCGGUGACUCUGCACUCUGCGUCUGCGGCACUUCUCUCCGGGCCCUCCCCUGUGCGGUCUCUGGCGUCUGUCCUUGCUGUCUCUGCUAUUACACCUUCCACCUCUCAGCUCCUGCCAGGAAGUUCGGUCGUUCGGUCGAUACUGAGCGGAGACAUACGGUCCAUCUUUCUAGUUGUCCUUGCUUGUUCUCUUAGCUUUUGACAAGAUUUUUGUUUCGCUUUGUUUUACUUUUUAUUUGGAAUAGAAAUGUUGAAGAUUCCCACUAGCAGUGAGUCAAUGAAUUCAAAGUGAAUUUGCCAAAAAGAAUUAAUCUAGAAAUGGCAGGAAGUGGUAUUCCCCUCACCACCAUUGUUCCUCUCACAAGAACACUUCAGUUUGAAUGUCUUCAGGAUGUGUCACCAGAUGGGCCUACAGUCAAUUCGCGCAGAGGAGCCCUGGACAGGCAGUGUCAGCAGGGUCACUGACCAUUAGGUGACAGAAGACUCAAUCUUUCAUUUGAAAAGGUCAGUGAAAGGUUAUUUACUGUAAAUUCUUUGCUUUAUACACAACUUACGUUUUCGUAAGUUCUAUCAGCCUGAGGAUUAACAAACAAACAAGAUGUUCAAAUAAGAGCUCCUUGAAGAGCAGUUGUGGUCUUUGUCCACCUUGUAGAAAGGCCCUUGGUCCUGCUCCCCCAGGCUGCCCAGCAGCCUGGGUGGGCGGGGAGUCUCGUCACUACCCAUCCUGUUGGCAAUCUUGCCAUUUCCCUCGUCUCUGCCCUGCCCCUGGUCUGCAGUAACCACCUGCUGCUGAACAUGCCAUGCAGGUGUCGAAGCCAUUGCGGGGCAUCUGUGUGCUGCCUGGAGGUGCUGCUGCAGGCCCACUGUGCUUAGGCUGGAGUGUCCAGGCUCCCAGGCUCCAGCCUCAGCAGGGGAGAACCCCUCAGCCCAGCUAGUCCUCUCCUCCUCCACAUGGCCCCAGUUACCAACUGCUCACUUCUACUUUAUCCUAGCCCCUACCUGAGACAUCAGACCUGGAAACAAGGCCACAGGGUUGCUCAAAAGACAGCGUGGGCAACAGACACUGCUCCAUGCACAAUGACCUUUGCCGUCUUCCACUCUGAACAGCUGGGUCCAGAUGUGCACCCUCUGAGUCUUUCCCUUGAAGGCCUCUGGGUCUUUCAUGCAAACAGACAUGAUACGGAGGGUCUCUCUGGUCCUGCAGACAUCUCCUCAUGGUUGAAUGACAGCCUCAAUGCAUGUGACCUAGUUUCUUGAAUUGGACAUCUUGUUGCAUAGAGAUUAAUACCUUAAGACCUAGAGAAAUAAAAUGACUUGUUCAAAAGCCCACAGAGUAGCACCGGGAGAGUAGGUCCUCCCCUCUGUCACACUCAAACCACUGUCACAAAUGCUUCUGUUCCCUUCAGCUCUGCGAUGAACAUAGAUUAAAAGCUACUGCGUUUUCCUCCUUCAUUUGAUCAAUACCCAAAUCUGAAAGGUGGUACUGUCACCCCCGUAGCUAUGUGGGGCUAGUGCAAAGGGGACUGCCUGCCGUUCACCCUGAGCAGGACGGUGUAGGCAUUUUCACAUACAUUACAGAAGGGGGGAUGACUGACAGAGAGAGUGAAAAUGUGCAAAGGGGUGGAGGUGCAGUGACUCAGCUUUAUGUGGGACUAAUUCUUCCAGGUGCAAACAUCCCAGGUCCUUCCUCCCCUCCUUCCCUCCUCCUUCUCCCCCCUCUCGCCCUCUUCCUAUCGUCUAUUGUAUCCACCGUCAUCUUCUCACCCCCCCAUCAGGGAUUUAUUACCUAGCUACUAACCUAUCACCUACUUCUUCCUCUGCCACCUGCCUAUCAAUAACGUAGCCUUAGAAAUACAUGUAUGACACAUGUUUUUAAUAAACACUUAUUG
Molecule: long non-coding RNA, 2451 nt
Organism: Tupaia belangeri chinensis (Chinese tree shrew)
Lineage: Eukaryota; Metazoa; Chordata; Mammalia; Scandentia; Tupaiidae
Exons: 5
Source: RefSeq, a predicted model, not a curated record